This 253-nucleotide ribosomal RNA is filed under the name uncultured bacterium. Its description in RNAcentral is "partial 16S ribosomal RNA". It matches the Rfam family "Bacterial small subunit ribosomal RNA", at positions 524 to 776 of the family's 1533-position model. The record is from RNAcentral.
UACGUAGGGGGCAAGCGUAAUCCGGAUUUACUGGGUGUAAAGGGAGCGUAGACGGCAGCGCAAGUCUGGAGUGAAAUGCCGGGGCUCAACCCCGGAACUGCUUUGGAAACUGUGCAGCUAGAGUGCGGGAGAGGUAAGCGGAAUUCCUAGUGUAGCGGUGAAAUGCGUAGAUAUUAGGAGGAACACCAGUGGCGAAGGCGGCUUACUGGACCGUAACUGACGUUGAGGCUCGAAAGCGUGGGGAGCAAACAGG